UAUUACAAUUUUAUUCGCCAGGGGACUACGAGCGUAAGCUUAAAACCCAAAGGACUUGGCGGUGCCCUACACCUCCUAGAGGAGCCUGUUCUAUAAUCGAUGAUCCACGUUAUACCUCACCGUUUCUUGCCAAACCCGCCUAUAUACCGCCGUCUCCAACUUACCCUAUGAAGGAUUAACAGUAGGUUUAAAGAUCACUCAUCAGAACGUCAGGUCAAGGUGUAGCGAAUGAAACGGGAAGAAAUGGGCUACAUUUUCUACCUUAGAUCACACGGAUAAUCAAUAUGAAACCUGAUUAUGAAGGAGGAUUUAGCAGUAAAAAGAAACCAACAUGUUCUUUUUAAGUCGGACCUAGGGCGCGUACACA
This 367-nucleotide ribosomal RNA is filed under the name Oreolalax nanjiangensis (Nanjiang toothed toad). Its description in RNAcentral is "partial small subunit ribosomal RNA". It matches the Rfam family "Bacterial small subunit ribosomal RNA", at positions 848 to 1389 of the family's 1533-position model. Lineage: Eukaryota; Metazoa; Chordata; Amphibia; Anura; Megophryidae. The record is from RNAcentral.